UAAGGUGUAGCCAAGUGGUAAGGCAGCGGAUUUUGGCUCCGCCAUACGGGGGUUCGAAUCCUCCCACCCCAA
RNAcentral lists this transfer RNA (72 nucleotides) under candidate division WWE3 bacterium. RNAcentral describes it as "tRNA-Gln". It matches the Rfam family "tRNA". From Rfam's summary of the family: Transfer RNA (tRNA) molecules are approximately 80 nucleotides in length. Their secondary structure includes four short double-helical elements and three loops (D, anti-codon, and T loops). Lineage: Bacteria; candidate division WWE3. The record is from RNAcentral.